CACGGAUUGCGAGCAUCUUUUGUCGGUUCUUGGUCUUGUAGCUCUAUAUUGUCCUUACAGAACAUUGAAUGAGAAGGGAAAAUGUUCAUACAUGAAACCUGUAUCUGAGAGACAAGAGAAUCCAGUAUGUCUGAUAUAUCAUCUGACUUAUUUUCCACUGCCACUACCAAGCCUUCCAUUAAUAUGAGAAGAUCAUCUGUUUUUGUUGAAGCUGGAACAUUAUAAACGG
Zootermopsis nevadensis is the source of this 229-nucleotide non-coding RNA. The record is from RefSeq and is a predicted model, not a curated record. NCBI's taxonomy places the organism in Eukaryota, Metazoa, Arthropoda, Insecta, Blattodea, Termopsidae.